CCCUCCGAUUGCUAAGCAACCGAGGGAGCCGCAAUAAAGAGGCGCGGGCCGUCCGGCCGUCCCGGCUAGCAACCAAAGCGUGGCUAGUGAGGGCGUCGCGUUGGGCAGAGCUCCGCGGCCUGCAAUGUAACCAUGUUAUCUGUGCCACGCCUCUCAGCGAGAGAAACGGUCUCCUCCUGGUCGUUACUCUGCGUUGGGAAGAGCUGCACCGGUUGAAUCUGCGCCUGUUUAAACGCAGGAUUAAACGAGGGAGGCUUUGCGGAUAUCUACUACCGUGGACUGGACAGGAUCACUUGGAUUAUACAUGAGAAGUUAAAAGUGUGAUGCUUCACAACACCUACAAUUGGAACAUGGAAUGUGAGAAGUAUGAAUCAAGAAUAGUUCUCUGAUGGCUGUGACCCAAUUCUGGAACUCCUUCCCAAGACAGAUCCACCCACCAUCUCCUACAGUAUUCUGCCUUUAUGCUUCAGAUAAAGCCU
Molecule: non-coding RNA, 479 nt
Organism: Pogona vitticeps (central bearded dragon)
Lineage: Eukaryota; Metazoa; Chordata; Lepidosauria; Squamata; Agamidae
Source: RefSeq, a predicted model, not a curated record